GACGGGUGAGUAACGCGUGGGUAACCUGCCUUAUACAGGGGGAUAACAGUCAGAAAUGGCUGCUAAUACCGCAUAAGCGCACAGAGCUGCAUGGCUCGGUGUGAAAAGACUCCGGUGGUAUAAGAUGGACCCGCGUUGGAUUAGCUUGUUGGUGGGGUAACGGCCCACCAAGGCGACGAUCCAUAGCCGGCCUGAGAGGGUGAACGGCCACAUUGGGACUGAGACACGGCCCAGACUCCUACGGGAGGCAGCAUG
Molecule: ribosomal RNA, 255 nt
Filed under: uncultured bacterium
Lineage: Bacteria
Description: partial 16S ribosomal RNA
Rfam family: Bacterial small subunit ribosomal RNA
Source: RNAcentral